AGCAGUAGAGAAAUGAAAAUUUUUAUGCUUUAGAGAUUGAACCUUAAAUCGCAUGUUUAUCAGCAAGUACGUCACGUCUCAACGAAAACACGUUUCUUAGGGCAUGCAAAAACUGUUCCGAAGGGCAAUGGAUGGCACAUUGGAAACGACGGCGAAAAAUCGCCGAAAGAUCCGCUCUUAUUCUAAAUUCAAGAAUGGGGGUGCGA
Non-coding RNA from Styela clava, 206 nucleotides. The record is from RefSeq and is a predicted model, not a curated record. NCBI's taxonomy places the organism in Eukaryota, Metazoa, Chordata, Ascidiacea, Stolidobranchia, Styelidae.